UAGAAAAGCUCCUUACAGGUGCUGGAGUCAAGGAUGUUAAAGCUCGGCUGCUUGUUCGUUAUUCUGGUCUGUGGCAUCAGAGGCACUGCAGGCCUGCUUGGCAGGAGUAGAAAUGAAGAUGAUACAGCUGGUGGAGACAAAGCUGUAGCAGGGCUACCUAGUACAAAUGCAAGUCAAACAAGAGGAGUCAUGAGAGCUACAAGGAACACAGACAGUUCACCUGACUACACAGUUGUUUAUUCCACUGUCACUGCCAGCAUCCUUGACACGGCAUUUAAUGACUAUCUCCAGUACUUACUAGCAGAUGUGAUCAAGGAUAUCUUGCCCCUGAACAUAAUGAAAUUACUCCCUAAAACAGUCACAGAUGUGAAUGAACUGCUAAAAGGCAGAGCUGAUCCAAACAUAAAUCUAACUGGAGACCUGAAAAGCCAUGGAGCUCAGCUCAAUAUAUUCGCCUUAAUCCGGAGCAUCACCCAGUUAUUGAUUGUCAAGAUUUACAUCACGACAACAACAAUGUCAUUUUCACCUGGCAACAAGAUUCACCUGUCUCUUCCAGUUGAGCUCAAUGUAGAGGGCAAAAGGCAAGUAACUUAGAGGAU
Molecule: long non-coding RNA, 599 nt
Filed under: Crocodylus porosus (Australian saltwater crocodile)
Lineage: Eukaryota; Metazoa; Chordata; Crocodylia; Crocodylidae
Description: lncRNA (ENSCPRG00005012725.1)
Source: RNAcentral